This 656-nucleotide long non-coding RNA is filed under the name Anneissia japonica. RNAcentral describes it as "uncharacterized LOC117109410, transcript variant X2". Lineage: Eukaryota; Metazoa; Echinodermata; Crinoidea; Comatulida; Comatulidae. The record is from RNAcentral.
AGGAUGGAUGGAUGACAUUAAUAAGUGCAUCAUUAAAUAAAAAUCCUCAAGUCGUUGAAGUUUUGAUUCAAUGUGGCGCAAAUCAAUAUUUGAAAACUAAUGCUGUUUGCUAGUUGACUCAUUUGCAUAAUUCACCAGACCAUGGUCUCAUCACAAUGAUGUAUUAUGAUAAUGAAUAUUCAUUGUCAAACACUUGAAAACUACAAAAAUCAGGAUACUGCUAAAAUGACACCACAGCAAGAGCAACUUCUAGAUAGCAUGUGCAUUUCACCACAGCGAAUCACGCACGUUGUAACCUUCUACCACUUGGAUAGGCCAGGGAACAUUUUAAAAACGCUGAACAUUGCAAAGAUUUCAGCAAACCGGUGGACUCAUCCUGCUCAGCUCAAUGGCUAUAAUGUUGCUUUCUUGUUUUGUGCUUGUUAAUUCUGCUGAAUGAAAUUCUGAAGAAAAUUUAGACAUUGCACCUCUGCAACAAGUGGACCAGCCCUGCUUGGCUGAAUGGCGAAUUUUGCUUCCUUUACUGAAUGAAUGUGGCAACUGAUUCGGUAAUUCAAGCAUUCAAUUCUGGUUAUAUAUUUGAAAUAAAUAUUCAUUGUAUUUAUUUAGUAUUGUACAAUAUUUUGAAAUAAAUAAAUAUUAAUUGUAUUCAGUUU